GAAGAUGAUGUGAAAGAGGAUUCCUGAUGAGAUUACCCGCCUUCUUGAGCACAAAGAGGAGCUCAUUCAGCUGUAUCAUGAGAAUCAGCAAAACAGUCAAACUGGGGCAUUGCAAAUGCAAUCAAAGAAGAAAAAAAAAAAAAAAGAGAGAAGAGGGUGAAAAAGAAGAAAAAAUCAAAAACCAGGAAAAUUUUUUCAAAAUUUUUCCAAAAGAAAAAAGAAAAGUAUACCCUCAAGUCCCUAGUUGACUGAUGCUGAAUGGAUUCAGAGUCGUUAUGACCAGUUGAAUUUGAUUGAAGAGAAG
RNAcentral lists this long non-coding RNA (304 nucleotides) under Lathyrus oleraceus (garden pea). Its description in RNAcentral is "Pisum sativum (pea) long non-coding RNA (PSAT_LNC040116)". The record is from RNAcentral. Lineage: Eukaryota; Viridiplantae; Streptophyta; Magnoliopsida; Fabales; Fabaceae.